GCCGCUUUAGCUCAGUUGGUAGAGCAACCGCCUUGUAAGCGGUAGGUCGUCAGUCUCGAUUCCGACAAGCGGCACCA
RNAcentral lists this transfer RNA (77 nucleotides) under Polaromonas sp. P1(28)-8. Its description in RNAcentral is "tRNA-Thr". It matches the Rfam family "tRNA". From Rfam's summary of the family: Transfer RNA (tRNA) molecules are approximately 80 nucleotides in length. Lineage: Bacteria; Pseudomonadati; Pseudomonadota; Betaproteobacteria; Burkholderiales; Comamonadaceae. The record is from RNAcentral.